Molecule: ribosomal RNA, 764 nt
Filed under: Eupompha sulcifrons
Lineage: Eukaryota; Metazoa; Arthropoda; Insecta; Coleoptera; Meloidae
Description: partial large subunit ribosomal RNA
Rfam family: Bacterial large subunit ribosomal RNA (bases 1-579)
Source: RNAcentral
GUCUUUUAGGUAAUUAUUUAAGGUUUGGCCUGCUCCAUGACUGGAUUAAAUAGCCGCAGUAUUUUGACUGUGCAAAGGUAGCAUAAUCAUUAGUUUUUUAAUUGAGAGCUGGAAUGAAUGGUCGGAUGAGAAAAUUUCUGUCUCACUUUAAAUUUAGUUGAAUUUUAUUUUUAAGUUAAAAAGCUUAAAUUUUAUAAAAAGACGAGAAGACCCUAUAGAGUUUCAUAGACUUAGAAUUUAACAUUUAAAGGGUUAAAAAUAUGAGAUUUUCUGGUUUAUUUUGUUGGGGUGACAGGAGAAUUUACUUAACUUCUCUUAAUUUUCACACUGAUUAGUGAUUUGAGGAUCCUAUAUUUUGGAUUAUAAGAUUAAAUUACCUUAGGGAUAACAGCGUAAUUCUUUUGGAGAGUUCUUAUCGAUAAAAGGGAUUGCGACCUCGAUGUUGGAUUAAAAUUAAAUUCUGGUGCAGAGGCUAGAUAUUUUGAGUCUGUUCGACUCUUAAAAUUUUACAUGAUCUGAGUUUAAACCGGCGUGAGCCAGGUUGGUUUCUAUCUUUUAUAGUAAAAAUAUCUUAGUACGAAAGGACCAGGUAUUUGAAUAAUAUUUUAUAUUUGAUUAGAAUUGUUAUUUUGGCAGAGUAGUGCAAUAGAUUUAGAAUCUUUAUAUGUAAUGAUAUUACAGAUAACAAUUUAUUUUUUUGAUUUGUUUUUAUUGUUUAUUUCAAUGUUGGUUUUAGUGGUCUGUGUGUUGGUGGGCGUGGCCUU